RNAcentral lists this ribosomal RNA (492 nucleotides) under uncultured bacterium. RNAcentral's name for it is "partial 16S ribosomal RNA". It matches the Rfam family "Bacterial small subunit ribosomal RNA", at positions 29 to 507 of the family's 1533-position model. The record is from RNAcentral.
AGUGAACGCUGGCGGUAGGCCUAACACAUGCAAGUCGAACGGCAGCACAGUAAGAGCUUGCUCUUACGGGUGGCGAGUGGCGGACGGGUGAGGAAUACAUCGGAAUCUACUUUUUCGUGGGGGAUAACGUAGGGAAACUUACGCUAAUACCGCAUACGACCUACGGGUGAAAGCAGGGGAUCUUCGGACCUUGCGCGAUUGAAUGAGCCGAUGUCGGAUUAGCUAGUUGGCGGGGUAAAGGCCCACCAAGGCGACGAUCCGUAGCUGGUCUGAGAGGAUGAUCAGCCACACUGGAACUGAGACACGGUCCAGACUCCUACGGGAGGCAGCAGUGGGGAAUAUUGGACAAUGGUCGCAAGCCUAAUCCAGCCAUACCGCGUGGGUGAAGAAGGCCUUCGGUUUGUAAAGCCCUUUUGUUGGGAAAGAAAAGCAUCAGGUUAAUACCCCGCUGUUCUGACGGUACCCAAAGAAUAAGCACCGGCUAACUUCGUG